GAUCAUGGCUCAGGACGAACGCUGGCGGCAUGCCCAACACAUGCAAGUCGAACGGGGGUAGCAAUACCCUAGUGGCGAACGGGUGAGUAACACAUAAGCAAUCUGCCCUUCACAGGGGGAUAACAGCGGGAAACUGCUGCUAAUACCGCAUAAGACCACGGUACCGCAUGGUACAGGGGUAAAAACGAAUCAGUGGUGAAGGAUGAGCUUAUGUCCCACUAGCUAGUUGGUGAGAUAACAGCCCACCAAGGCGACGAUGGGUAGCCGACCUGAGAGGGUGAUCGGCCACACUGGAACUGAGACACGGUCCAGACUCCUACGGGAGGCAGCAGUGGGGAAUAUUGGGCAAUGGAAGGAAACUCUUACCCAGCAAUGCCGCGUGAGUGAAGAAGGUCUUCGGAUUGUAAAGCUCUUUGAUUGGGGACGAAGAAAGUGACGGUACCCAAAGAACAAGCCCCGGCUAACUACGUGCCAGCCGCCGC
Molecule: ribosomal RNA, 482 nt
Filed under: uncultured bacterium
Lineage: Bacteria
Description: bacterial SSU rRNA
Rfam family: Bacterial small subunit ribosomal RNA
Source: RNAcentral